CCUACUAUAUAUACCAGCUGCUAACCCCUUAAACCUAUACAUGCCAACUGCCAUUCUACUGACCCUACUAUAUAUACCAGCUGCUAACCCCUUAAACCUAUACAUGCCAACUGCCAUUCUACUGACCCUACUGUAACGGACCGUUUUGCACAAAAGGGGUUAACAGCCGUUUAGGAGAUCCUCCCCUUCCAGAGAUACAGGCACAGCUACUGCAGAACACCAAACUCCCGAACUGGAUACAAAAUAGCACUCCAACUCCUGAACUGGAACCUCCCAAAUAGCUGCU
Pelobates cultripes (western spadefoot toad) is the source of this 286-nucleotide non-coding RNA. Lineage: Eukaryota; Metazoa; Chordata; Amphibia; Anura; Pelobatidae. The record is from the annotation of a GenBank genome assembly.